AACGUAGGAGGCAAGCGUUAUCCGGAUUUACUGGGCGUAAAGCGCGUGUAGGUGGUUUGGUAAGUAAGGCGUGAAAGCUCCUGGCUCAACUGGGGAAGGUCGUUUGAAACUGCCGAGCUAGAGGAUGGUAGAGGGAGGUGGAAUUCCGGGUGUAGCGGUGGAAUGCGCAGAUAUCAGGAGGAACACCAGUGGCGAAGGCGGCCUCCUGGACCACUCCUGACACUCAGACGCGAAAGCGAGGGUAGCAAACAGG
Molecule: ribosomal RNA, 253 nt
Filed under: uncultured prokaryote
Description: partial 16S ribosomal RNA
Rfam family: Bacterial small subunit ribosomal RNA
Source: RNAcentral